UACGAGUUGAUCCUGGCUCAGGAUGAACGCUAGCAGAACGCCUAACACAUGCAAGUCGAACGAACCAGCAAUGGUUAGUGGCAAACGGGCGAGUAACGCGUAUCUAACCUACCCUUGAGUGAGGCACAACUACAGAGAUGUAGCUAAUUCCUCAUACGUUCUAGAGAAUGAAAAUAUCUAGAAGAAAGAUUUAUCGCUCAGGGAGGGGGGUGCGUCCUAUCAGGUAGUUGGUGAGGUAACGGCUCACCAAGCCUAUGACGGGUAGCCGGUCUGAGAGGAUGUCCGGCCGCAAUGGAACUGAGAACGGUCCAUACUCCUACGGGAGGCAGCAGUGGGGAAUAUUGGACAAUGGGCGAAAGCCUGAUCCAGCGAUUCUGCGUGAAGGAUGAAGCCUUAUGGGGUGUAAACUUCUUUUCUGGGGGAAGACGAAUGACGGUACCUCAGGAAUAAGAGACGGCUAACUACGUG
This 468-nucleotide ribosomal RNA is filed under the name uncultured bacterium. RNAcentral describes it as "bacterial SSU rRNA". It matches the Rfam family "Bacterial small subunit ribosomal RNA", at positions 1 to 507 of the family's 1533-position model. The record is from RNAcentral.